Molecule: ribosomal RNA, 497 nt
Filed under: uncultured bacterium
Lineage: Bacteria
Description: partial 16S ribosomal RNA
Rfam family: Bacterial small subunit ribosomal RNA
Source: RNAcentral
GAUGAACGCUGGCGGCGUGCCUAAUACAUGCAAGUCGAGCGAACAGAUGAGGAGCUUGCUCCUCUGACGUUAGCGGCGGACGGGUGAGUAACACGUGGAUAACCUACCUAUAAGACUGGGAUAACUUCGGGAAACCGGAGCUAAUACCGGAUAAUAUAUUGAACCGCAUGGUUCAAUAGUGAAAGACGGUUUUGCUGUCACUUAUAGAUGGAUCCGCGCCGCAUUAGCUAGUUGGUAAGGUAACGGCUUACCAAGGCAACGAUGCGUAGCCGACCUGAGAGGGUGAUCGGCCACACUGGAACUGAGACACGGUCCAGACUCCUACGGGAGGCAGCAGUAGGAAAUCUUCCGCAAUGGGCGAAAGCCUGACGGAGCAACGCCGCGUGAGUGAUGAAGGUCUUCGGAUCGUAAAACUCUGUUAUUAGGGAAGAACAAAUGUGUAAGUAACUAUGCACGUCUUGACGGUACCUAAUCAGAAAGCCACGGCUAACUACGUG